AGUGAACGCUGGCGGUAGGCCUAACACAUGCAAGUCGAACGGCAGCACAGUAAGAGCUUGCUCUUACGGGUGGCGAGUGGCGGACGGGUGAGGAAUACAUCGGAAUCUACUUUUUCGUGGGGGAUAACGUAGGGAAACUUACGCUAAUACCGCAUACGACCUACGGGUGAAAGCAGGGGAUCUUCGGACCUUGCGCGAUUGAAUGCGCCGAUGUCGGAUUAGCUAGUUGGCGGGGUAAAGGCCCACCAAGGCGACGAUCCGUAGCUGGUCUGAGAGGAUGGUAGGCGACACUGGAACGUAGACACGGUCCAGACUCCUACGGGAGGCAGCAGUGUGGAAUAUUGGACAAUGGGCGCAAGCCUGAUCCAGCCAUACCGCGUGGGUGAAGAAGGCCUUCGGGUUGUAAAGCCCUUUUGUUGGGAAAGAAAAGCAGCAGGUUAAUACCCCGCUGUUCUGACGGUACCCAAAGAAUAAGCACCGGCUAACUUCGUG
This 492-nucleotide ribosomal RNA is filed under the name uncultured bacterium. RNAcentral describes it as "partial 16S ribosomal RNA". It matches the Rfam family "Bacterial small subunit ribosomal RNA", at positions 29 to 507 of the family's 1533-position model. The record is from RNAcentral.